UUCUCCAGCACAGCCACCAGCUCCAAGAGCUUUUUCCUCUCUGCUUCAGCAGCCUGGCACUGAGUCCUUUGCAUUUUGAUCUGUCCCAGCAGCGCCUCCCGGCUCGAGCCGUCCGUGCCAGCAGACCUGAGGAAAGCACAAGCACAGAGAGCCUGGUUCCCACUCCUGAAAUGAAAGGAAUGAAACAAAGCAGCAUUUGAGCACUAUCUCCAAUACACUUGUCUGAAGCUUUAAGAAAUCUGCUUUGUGAAAACUCUCAGGAAGAUCUGUCAUGUUCAUUGCUGCAAGAGGAGGAGCCAGCUGAUAACACUGGAGUUAUCACUGCCAGCCUGGAUGAGUUUUAUGGAUGAUGACAUGUACUUGGGACACCCCAUUUCAGGAGCUGCGAAUCUUCAGCAAGUUCUUCUCUUGGACUGACAACUUCCUUGGAUCAGGAAAUGCCAGCAAUC
Non-coding RNA from Lonchura striata (white-rumped munia), 449 nucleotides. NCBI's taxonomy places the organism in Eukaryota, Metazoa, Chordata, Aves, Passeriformes, Estrildidae. The record is from RefSeq and is a predicted model, not a curated record.